Salvelinus sp. IW2-2015 is the source of this 251-nucleotide long non-coding RNA. RefSeq lists it as uncharacterized. NCBI's taxonomy places the organism in Eukaryota, Metazoa, Chordata, Actinopteri, Salmoniformes, Salmonidae. The record is from RefSeq and is a predicted model, not a curated record.
GAGGAUUCAACUUCAAGCUGUUGGUGCCUCCUAGAGUCAACCCAAUCCCAGGACAGGUUUCUACCGUCAAACCACAGGAAAUAGUGGAGGAUGGGGGAUGUUUCAUGCAAACUUUGCAGCAGGGUUAUAAUAAAUGUUUGGACAAAGAGUCAAACAUGCCUUUUCCCUCUAUGAAUACGGUUGUGCCAACAAAACCCACCAGAUCAGAUGUAUUCAAGAUGAAAGUUGUGCCACCAAUGGAAAAUGAAGAA